Molecule: transfer RNA, 87 nt
Filed under: Prunus persica (peach)
Lineage: Eukaryota; Viridiplantae; Streptophyta; Magnoliopsida; Rosales; Rosaceae
Rfam family: tRNA
About the family: Transfer RNA (tRNA) molecules are approximately 80 nucleotides in length. Their secondary structure includes four short double-helical elements and three loops (D, anti-codon, and T loops). Further hydrogen bonds mediate the characteristic L-shaped molecular structure. tRNAs have two regions of fundamental functional importance: the anti-codon, which is responsible for specific mRNA codon recognition, and the 3' end, to which the tRNAs corresponding amino acid is attached (by aminoacyl-tRNA synthetases). tRNAs cope with the degeneracy of the genetic code in two manners: having more than one tRNA (with a specific anti-codon) for a particular amino acid; and 'wobble' base-pairing, i.e. permitting non-standard base-pairing at the 3rd anti-codon position.
Source: Rfam by way of RNAcentral
UGAUGGAUGUCUGAGCGGUUGAAAGAGUUAGUUUGAAAAACAGAAGUAUUGAUAGGAAUAUAGGGGGUUCGAAUCCCUCUCCAUCUG